This 556-nucleotide transfer RNA is filed under the name uncultured marine bacterium. RNAcentral's name for it is "partial 16S-23S ribosomal RNA intergenic spacer". The stretch from base 348 to 421 matches the Rfam family "tRNA". The record is from RNAcentral.
CCUCCUUACCAAAAGUCGACGUGACACACUUGAUGCAGUGCCUACACAGAUAGUCUUGUUAUAGAAAGAAGAACGACCAAUUAUGGGGCUAUAGCUCAGCUGGGAGAGCGCCUGAUUUGCAUUCAGGAGGUCAGCAGUUCGAUCCUGCUUAGCUCCACCAUCUUUGCUCGAUAAAGAAAUAGCUGAAUCGAGACAAAGAGCCCAGCAAGCUGAUAAAAGUCAGAUUGCAAGCAGUUGAGUGUUAGGCAAGGCGACUGAGAAGCGAUUGAAGGAGCAUACUUCAGUAUGUGACUGAAAGAGCGCCGAACCAAAGCCGCAGCAUAACGCUUAAAUGCGCAGUAAGCUGGAGGCUUGUAGCUCAGCUGGUUAGAGCGCACCCCUGAUAAGGGUGAGGUCGGCAGUUCAAGUCUGCCCAAGCCUACCAAUUCUACUUGGGCUUCGUUUAUUUUGGAGAGCUGCGAUGCUCANGUGCUACUCGCAAAUUGCGCUUCUCGCUCACCAAACUAACCCCCACCCAAACCGAAAUUGGCCUGAUGUUUUCGAAUAAAAAAACACC